This 722-nucleotide ribosomal RNA is filed under the name uncultured Fusobacterium sp. RNAcentral's name for it is "bacterial SSU rRNA". It matches the Rfam family "Bacterial small subunit ribosomal RNA", at positions 28 to 776 of the family's 1533-position model. Lineage: Bacteria; Fusobacteriati; Fusobacteriota; Fusobacteriia; Fusobacteriales; Fusobacteriaceae. The record is from RNAcentral.
GAUGAACGCUGACAGAAUGCUUAACACAUGCAAGUCUACUUGAACUUCGGUUUGGGUGGCGGACGGGUGAGUAACGCGUAAAGAACUUGCCUCACAGCUAGGGACAACAUUUGGAAACGAAUGCUAAUACCUGAUAUUAUGAUUAUACGGCAUCGUAUAAUUAUGAAAGCUAUAUGCGCUGUGAGAGAGCUUUGCGUCCCAUUAGCUAGUUGGAGAGGUAACGGCUCACCAAGGCGAUGAUGGGUAGCCGGCCUGAGAGGGUGAACGGCCACAGGGGGACUGAGACACGGCCCUUACUCCUACGGGAGGCAGCAGUGGGGAAUAUUGGACAAUGGACCAAAAGUCUGAUCCAGCAAUUCUGUGUGCACGAUGACGUUUUUCGGAAUGUAAAGUGCUUUCAGUUGGGAAGAAAAAAAUGACGGUACCAACAGAAGAAGUGACGGCUAAAUACGUGCCAGCAGCCGCGGUAAUACGUAUGUCACAAGCGUUAUCCGGAUUUAUUGGGCGUAAAGCGCGUCUAGGUGGUUAUGUAAGUCUGAUGUGAAAAUGCAGGGCUCAACUCUGUAUUGCGUUGGAAACUGUGUAACUAGAGUACUGGAGAGGUAAGCGGAACUACAAGUGUAGAGGUGAAAUUCGUAGAUAUUUGUAGGAAUGCCGAUGGGGAAGCCAGCUUACUGGACAGAUACUGACGCUAAAGCGCGAAAGCGUGGGUAGCAAACAGG